GACGAACGCUGGCGGCGUGCUUAACACAUGCAAGUCGAACGGAAAGGCCCUGCUUUUGUGGGGUGCUCGAGUGGCGAACGGGUGAGUAACACGUGAGUAACCUGCCCUUGACUUUGGGAUAACUUCAGGAAACUGGGGCUAAUACCGGAUAGGAGCUCCUGCUGCAUGGUGGGGGUUGGAAAGUUUCGGCGGUUGGGGAUGGACUUAGGGCUUAUCAGCUUGUUGGUGGGGUAGUGGCUUACCAAGGCUUUGACCGGUAGCCGGCCGGAGAGGAUGAUCAGUCACACUGGAACUGAGACACGGUCCAGACUGCUGCGGGAGGGAGCAGUGGGGAAUAGUGGACAAUGGGCGAAAGCAUGAUCCAGCCAUGGCGCGUGUGUGAAGAAGGUCUUCGGAUUGUAAAGCACUUGAAGUUGGGAGGAAGGGCAGUAAGUUAAUACCUUGCUGUUUUGACGUUACCAACAGAAUAAGCACCGGCUAACUUCGUG
RNAcentral lists this ribosomal RNA (488 nucleotides) under uncultured bacterium. Its description in RNAcentral is "partial 16S ribosomal RNA". It matches the Rfam family "Bacterial small subunit ribosomal RNA", at positions 28 to 507 of the family's 1533-position model. The record is from RNAcentral.